AUGAAGAAAGGGGAGAGUCGUGGCAAGAGGGCGAGUGCCGAGGAGGUGAAGUCGGAGUCGGAGAAAGGGGAGGCAACGAUGCAAGACGAAGGUGAAGCAGGGGAUGCGUUGGUGGCGGCGGAAUCCAUGGCACCGACACAGAUCGACGUGAGGAUGGACGUGACACUCCUCCAUUGCCAGGGCUGCCUUCUCCCCCUCAAGCCCCCGGUGUUCAAGUGCGAUGCCGUAGGGCACGUGGUGUGCUACUACUGCCGUGCCGGGCACCGCGCCGUCUGCAGCCGUGCCAACACCCACUGCGGCCAGCUGGACAAGGUGGUCGGCGCCGCCAAGGUGCCAUGCCCCUACAAGGCGUUCGGCUGCGAGCGCUACGUGGUGUUCCACGAGGCCGCGGACCACCAGCGCGUGUGCCAGUGCGCGCCCUGCACCUGCCCGGAGUCCGCAUGCGCCUUCGUGGGCUCCCGCGCAAUGCUGGUCGACCACUUCGCCGCCGAUCACCAGCGCCCCGCCGUCAUGGUCCGCUAUGGCCGGUCUUGGAGCCUGAGCUUCUCCCUGUCGCACGGCUGGCACCUGCUUGUCGGGGAGGAGGACCGCUGCGUGUUCCUCGUCUCCCUCCGCCCGCUCGGUCCGGGCACCGUCGUGUCACUGAUGUGCCUCAGGCCAGACGGUGAGGCUGAGACGGGGCCCCGGUUCUGGUGCAAGCUCUCCAUUGAGCACCGUAGCGGCGACAAGGACUACGACCUAGUUCUCAUGACCUCGCCGGUGAUCAGCAAUGCGCUGUCCACGUGCGCGCCGGCGUUGGGCCAGGGGAUGUUCUUGGUGGUGCCCCAGGAGCUGCUCUCCGGCGACACGCUCACCCUCAGCGUCCGCAUCGAUCUGAUCCCACCUGCCGCCGCCGCUCCCAAGUCAACUACACCGCAGGCCAGGGCGCCGAGGAGGAUGCACGAGGCUGGACCUGAUGCUCAAAGAACCUUCAAGUUCAAACCGAAGAUGACAAUCUGGACAAAAUCACAUUUCAAAGAAUUUUCCCCCGUCUCAGAGAUGGGUCAAGUUGUGUGUUAUUGUGUAUCAAACUGGGGACAGAGGAUCAUGCUUCUUUCAAAGUUUGCAUUCAUGGCUCACAUAAAUCCUGCCAUGGAGAACGGCGGCGAGCCGAGCAACAAGAAAUCGAGGUUGCAGGAGGAGCCCAUGGCGGCGGUGAAGCAGGAACGGCUAGAGAUGAAGGAGAGCCAAGGCGGCGCUGGCGCGCUGGCGACUGUGGAGGAAGCCAUGCAGGUUCCAUGGGUGGCCGCGGAGGUGAACCCACUCUUCUAUCUCUGCUUUGCAUGCCAACUUCCCCUCAGGCCUCCUGUGCACCAGUGCGAGGGCGGGCACAGGGUGUGCGGCAGGUGCCAUGGCGACCGCUGCACGGCGUGCGACCCGCCAGCGGCCUACAGCCCCUUCCCCUUCAUGGACGACGCGCUGGGCGCCGUGCAGCUGCCGUGCUGCUACAGGGCCGACGGCUGCGGGAGGAAGCUCAUGUACCACGAGGCCGCCGACCACGCGCUGCAGUGCGCCUUCGCGCCCUGCCACUGCCCGGGCCACGGCUGCAGCAUGUGGGCCUCCCCGCCGGCCCUCCUCGACCACAUCGCCGCCGCCCACUCCUGGCCCGUCACGGAGGUCGGUUACGGGAGCCCGUUCAGGAUCGCCGUGCCAACUCCGUGGCGCGGCGGCGGCACGCACCUCCUCGUCGAGCGGAACGACCCGCGCCUGUUCCUCGUGACCCUCUCCGAGUUCGGGGAGGCCACCGCUGUCACGGUGGUGUGCGUGCGGGAGGGCACGGCGGCGGCGGCGCCCCGCUUCAGGUCCACGGUCUGGGCUGAGGUUGCCAGCAACACGGAGGAAAAUUUGUUUCGUCGACUGUCCACGGUGCCGAGCAGCAGCGGCGGCGGCAAUCUUUCCGGUGGAGGGCCGCCGGUGUGCCUGCUGGUGCCACCGGACUUUGGGAGCGAGAACGAAGACCUCUUCCUCGGUGUUCGCAUCGACAAGCUCUGA
Molecule: ribosomal RNA, 2031 nt
Filed under: Triticum aestivum (bread wheat)
Lineage: Eukaryota; Viridiplantae; Streptophyta; Magnoliopsida; Poales; Poaceae
Description: partial small subunit ribosomal RNA
Source: RNAcentral